AUAUCAAUAAGGCGAGGAACAGAAACCAACCGGGAUUCCCCCAGUAGUGGCGAAUGAAGUGGGAAAAGCUCAAGUUUGAAAUCUGGCUUCAGUCAGAGUUGUAAGCUGAAGAGGCUUCGACCGAUGUGGCUUGGGCUCAAUUCCCUUGGGAUAGGGAGUCAUGGAGGGUGAGAACCCCGUCUGUGGCCCUUUGGCCUGCAUCCUUGUGUCGUUUCCUCGAAGAGUCGGGUUGUUUGGGAAUGCAGCUCAAAAUGGGUGGUAAAUUUCAUCUAAAGCUAAAUAUUGGCGAGAGACCGAUAGCGCACAAGUA
RNAcentral lists this ribosomal RNA (310 nucleotides) under uncultured eukaryote. Its description in RNAcentral is "partial large subunit ribosomal RNA". It matches the Rfam family "Eukaryotic large subunit ribosomal RNA", at positions 40 to 350 of the family's 3401-position model. The record is from RNAcentral.